CAACUCCUCAUUUUAAAACAAAGGGCUGAUGAAAGGGCAGGUGUGCCCAGAGCCCUCUGCGAUUAGCUGUAAUUCUUGGCAGAGUGCGACAUGCUUAUUCUUCUGAAUUAGCGCUGAGCACAAGGCGUUUACCACGGUGCUAAUUGCUAUUGCAGGAAAACAAGCUGUCCCAGUAUGUGGGCAUGAGGCAAGACAAAACAGAUGCCAAAGCCAUUCAGAGCCAUACCCUGCAUCGGGCGCUGAGCCGGCGGCUAAGAACGAGUUUGUCUAAACGUCAGUCUCCUGUGGGUAGGAUACGGGGGUGUGAUUCUAGGCUCUGAUUCAGAGAACACAGAUCGUGUGCUUGUUCGGAGGACAGUUUUGAGUCCCUGCUGUCACCUUCCUCACCAUAGAUUCAGAGAAGGUAGGUGGAGCUUCCUUCUGAAUUUAUUUUUUUCUAACGUUUGCUUUGGUAACGCUGAAGUUGUCACCUGUUGUUUCAAGGAAUGUAAAAAUCACCAGGAGUAUUAUAUUAUAAUUCAGAUAUUAUAAUACAUUUGGAUUAUCCAAGUGCAUUCGAGUAUAGUUUCUGCUUACGUGUGUAGAUGUCCAGCAGGACUUGAAGGACAGGAGAGUCACCAAGGGGAACAGUGUAGUGAUACAAAGGGCACUAUGACCAGUUUUUGCUUCUCGUCCUGACUUUCUGCUUUUUAACCAUGUGGGCGACCUUGAGAAAGGUACUUGAGCCCUCAAUUGCUUCAUCUGCAAAAUUAGAAAUUUGGACUGGACUACAUUGAAGCUAUUCCCC
RNAcentral lists this long non-coding RNA (787 nucleotides) under Microcebus murinus (gray mouse lemur). Its description in RNAcentral is "lncRNA (ENSMICG00000048314.1)". The record is from RNAcentral. Lineage: Eukaryota; Metazoa; Chordata; Mammalia; Primates; Cheirogaleidae.